GUGUCCUACGGGACGCAGCAGUGGGGGAUAUUGCACAAUGGGCGCAAGCCUGAUGCAGCGACGCCGCGUGGGUGAAGAAGUACCUCGGUACGUAAAGCCCUAUCAUCAGGGAAGAAAAUGACGGUACCUGACUAAGAAGCUCCGGCUAAAUACGUGCCAGCAGCCGCGGUAAUACGUAUGGAGCAAGCGUUAUCCGGAUUUACUGGGUGUAAAGGGAGCGUAGACGGCAGUGCAAGUCUGAAGUGAAAGGCAAGGGCUCAACCCUUGGACUGCUUUG
RNAcentral lists this ribosomal RNA (277 nucleotides) under uncultured bacterium. RNAcentral describes it as "partial 16S ribosomal RNA". It matches the Rfam family "Bacterial small subunit ribosomal RNA", at positions 334 to 628 of the family's 1533-position model. The record is from RNAcentral.